RNAcentral lists this ribosomal RNA (253 nucleotides) under uncultured bacterium. RNAcentral describes it as "partial 16S ribosomal RNA". It matches the Rfam family "Bacterial small subunit ribosomal RNA", at positions 524 to 776 of the family's 1533-position model. The record is from RNAcentral.
UACGGGGGGGGCAAGCGUUGUUCGGAAUUACUGGGCGUAAAGGGCUCGUAGGCGGCCAACUAAGUCAUACGUGAAAUCCCUCGGCUUAACCGGGGAACUGCGUCUGAUACUGGAUGGCUUGAGAUUGGGAGAGGGAUGCGGAAUUCCAGGUGUAGCGGUGAAAUGCGUAGAUAUCUGGAGGAACACCGGUGGCGAAGGCGGGUCUCUGGGCCGAAAUUGACGCUGAGGAGCGAAAGCGUGGGGAGCGAACAGG